Heterocephalus glaber (naked mole-rat) is the source of this 1132-nucleotide non-coding RNA. The record is from RefSeq and is a predicted model, not a curated record. Lineage: Eukaryota; Metazoa; Chordata; Mammalia; Rodentia; Bathyergidae.
CCCGGGUGUCCUUCACUGCAGUCAGCUCCUCGGAGCGUUUGGUAAGGCCCUCGGUCUUACAGAACCAGAAACAGAAUGAGAUGAGAAGAAUCUGGAAUCUAACUCCAGAAGGAGAGGCAAGCAAUGUAGAGCCCGAUAACGUUUUGCUGGCGAUCUACUUUUAGAAGGAGCUACCCGAUAAGAGUAGGUGGAUUACAGGCCCGGCUACAUCCCACGGUUAAACAGCAGGUGAACUGGUUACAUUGGAUUCUGGGAGGACCAACAUAGAUACUUUACUGAAAAAAAAACUUUAAUGCCAUCUUUAUUUAUAAAAGAAUUCUGGGAAAAGCUGGAAGCAUUUUGCAGAUUUUAAUCUCAUUAAUCCUCACAGUAACCUUGAGUGAGUUUAUACAAUUAUACAAUAGCCUUCUUUGUUUAGAGGAUCAGCUCUUAGAGUCCUCAAAGGAGUCACUUUGUUUGCAGUUGUUUCUUUGUCUUGGCUUAAUUCAUAAAUGUUAUAAUGUUCUUUGAAAUAGAUCUAGGAUAAUCCUAAACUAUUAGUAAGUUAAUAAUCACUGUUCAUUUUGGACAUACUAACCUCACCACUAAAAAUAUCUUAGAAAUGACCUUACAUACCAGCUAUACAAAGAAAGAAAGGAACUUUCUCCUCCUUAAUUGUAGCCAGGCAUGGUUAGAGAAAUCUACAGGCAUGCUUACUUUAAAAUCUAAGGGAUAACCAGGCUGGGGAUUAACCUCAGCACCACAGUGCCUGCCUGGCAAGUGUGAGGUCCUGAGUUCAAGAAAAAAAAAUAUAUAAGGGAUAGCAAAAUGGAAGGCAGGAAAGCAAUGAACUUGCUUACAGGGACCCCCACUUAUGUCUCCUGCCUGUCCUAGGAGGGACCCAGCUCUCUCCUUGGUUCUGGGCCCCCCUUCUGCUCCCUCAGAGGAGGGAGGGCUAAGUUGAAAGCCUGCUGCCUUGUCAAAUGGAGCAACCCAGAGAAGAGGGUUCCCUCCACUCACCGCAGCUGGGUGUAGCAUUGCUAACCUUGUUUUCAGCACGGCCCACAGCUUCCAUCCCUCCCGGGAAGGUGCAGGGCACACAUCUCAGACAUCCCAGGGGACCCGGGCAGCCACAUCACAUACUCCAUGGCAA